GUUGUAUGGUUAAGUGACUAAGCGUACACGGUGGAUGCCUUGGCAGUCAGAGGCGAUGAAGGACGUAUUAACUUGCGAUAAGCCCAGAUUA
RNAcentral lists this ribosomal RNA (91 nucleotides) under Photobacterium phosphoreum. RNAcentral's name for it is "partial 23S ribosomal RNA". It matches the Rfam family "Bacterial large subunit ribosomal RNA", at positions 1 to 84 of the family's 2925-position model. RNAcentral also lists the same sequence under 5 other names. The record is from RNAcentral. Lineage: Bacteria; Pseudomonadati; Pseudomonadota; Gammaproteobacteria; Vibrionales; Vibrionaceae.